GUGUCAGCAGCCGCGGUAAAACGUAGGUGGCAAGCGUUAUCCGGAUUCACUGGGCGUAAAGCGCACGCAGGCGGCGCGGUUGGUAGGGCAUGAAAGCUCCUGGCUUAACUGGGAGAUGCUGUCCUAUACCGCCGCGCUUGAGGCUGGAAGAGGGAAGUGGAAUUGCCGGUGUAGUGGUGAAAUGCGUAGAGAUCGGCAGGAACACCAGUGGCGAAGGCGGCUUCCUGGUCCACGCCUGACGCUCAAAUGCGAAAGCUAGGGGAGCGAACGGGAUUAGAAACCCCAGUAGUCC
This 292-nucleotide ribosomal RNA is filed under the name uncultured bacterium. RNAcentral describes it as "partial 16S ribosomal RNA". It matches the Rfam family "Bacterial small subunit ribosomal RNA", at positions 505 to 796 of the family's 1533-position model. The record is from RNAcentral.